UCCCUGGUGGUCUAGUGGUUAGGACUCCGUGCUUCUAAUGCUGGGGGCACAGGUUCGAUCCCUGGUUGGGAAA
This 73-nucleotide transfer RNA is filed under the name Bos taurus (domestic cattle). It matches the Rfam family "tRNA". Rfam says of the family: Transfer RNA (tRNA) molecules are approximately 80 nucleotides in length. Their secondary structure includes four short double-helical elements and three loops (D, anti-codon, and T loops). The record is from Rfam by way of RNAcentral. Lineage: Eukaryota; Metazoa; Chordata; Mammalia; Artiodactyla; Bovidae. RNAcentral also lists the same sequence under 5 other names.